Molecule: long non-coding RNA, 433 nt
Filed under: Elaeis guineensis (African oil palm)
Lineage: Eukaryota; Viridiplantae; Streptophyta; Magnoliopsida; Arecales; Arecaceae
Description: long non-coding RNA (EGUI_LNC026085)
Source: RNAcentral
CUUAAGUAACCCAUCACACUCCCUCUCCCAACCCUUCCACCCCGCCACUUCUUUCCCCGCACCUCUCACCUCCCGAUCUCCCAAUCAUCUCACUAUCUCUAUGCCAAAUCUACACUUGCUGUCGCUCCCAAUCGGAUCCCACUGCUAUGGGCCAAUUUCACCACUCGAGGAUGCACAUCGAAGAGUCUGAAGUCCACAAUCGUCGAUCUAGCCUUCUCUCUGUCGAUGAAGAAGCACGCCUCAACAAGAUGCAUCGAUGCUAGCUCACUGCUAGUCCAAUACUAUCUUUGGUCCCAUUUCUUUUCCCCUUUCAUGGAUUUAACCCCCCUCCCUUUUUUUCUUUCUUUCUUAUCUCUCUCUCUCUAUUUUCUCUCAACCCUCUCCAUCGUCAUCCCCAUCUCCGUAAACCCAACCCUAAACCUAGCCCUAACCC